UACGUAGGGUGCGAGCGUUUAAUCGGAAUUGCUGGGCGUAAAGCGUGCGCAGGCGGCUUCGCAAGUCAGGCGUGAAAUCCCCGGGCUUAACCUGGGAAUGGCGUCUGAAACUACGGAGCUGGAGUGUGGCAGAGGGAGGUAGAAUUCCACGUGUAGCGGUGAAAUGCGUAGAUAUGUGGAGGAAUACCGAUGGCGAAGGCAAUCCCCUGGGCCUGCACUGACGCUCAUGCACGAAAGCGUGGGGAGCAAACAGG
Molecule: ribosomal RNA, 254 nt
Filed under: uncultured bacterium
Lineage: Bacteria
Description: partial 16S ribosomal RNA
Rfam family: Bacterial small subunit ribosomal RNA
Source: RNAcentral